Leishmania major strain Friedlin is the source of this 825-nucleotide non-coding RNA. The record is from RefSeq and is a predicted model, not a curated record. NCBI's taxonomy places the organism in Eukaryota, Euglenozoa, Kinetoplastea, Trypanosomatida, Trypanosomatidae.
AUGCCCAGUGGUAGCAGCCGUAGGGAGUCUUCAGCUGCACCCGGUAGAUUGCGACGGCCUGUCGUGGAUGUGUUCGCGGGGAAGGCUGCGUUGCCGAGGAGCACGAACGCAGGGCAGAGGUGGAAGAGCAGAACCUUGCGAAUACGGCACUCGGUGAACACUUCCGGUACGGCAGCGUAUUUGGUCGAAUGUACCACGGGCAUGCCCCUGACCGAUGAGUACGAUCUGAGUGUUAUGAUGCGUGCUGCAGAGGCACCUCUGACGCUCUCUCGACCAGUCUCAGCACAUUCAACGCCGUCGCCGAAGGGGAACGGAGCCAUGCCGACGCCACAUCCAAGCUUCUUAGAUAUCGUAAGCGCCGACAGCUCCCCCUUCAGGCUGAGUCGAGCCAGCGCGCCGGGCCCGACCAGCUUACCAGAGCUGUCAACCACUGAAAGUCUCGAACAGAUUUCUCGCCAAAGCAGACAGCCAACCGACAGUCGGCGUGACAGCCUUGCUCGCACCCCGCUCCACCGCCCCCAAAGCCGAAAAGGGACGUUGUUCGGCAGCGAGUCCAGCGAUACGGAUUUCCAGUACCUCUGCACAUCAGACGAAAAUGCACUGUACAGCUUCUACGCCAUCAGCUACAACACCAUGGACCCCUUUCUCAAAGGCGCGGAAGACACAGUAAGGUGCAGCGCACACGAAGAGAACCACAGGCAACUCUCUACAACAUCCCACAGGCGUCCUGUGCAAGCCAUGACGGUGGUAGUGAAAAGACCUACGUUAGCCCAAAUACGCGUGGGGAUACGGAGAAUGCUGACUCCGAUGGUCAUGGUGACGACG